This 429-nucleotide ribosomal RNA is filed under the name Pseudomonadota bacterium. RNAcentral's name for it is "Proteobacteria bacterium partial 16S ribosomal RNA". It matches the Rfam family "Bacterial small subunit ribosomal RNA", at positions 355 to 776 of the family's 1533-position model. Lineage: Bacteria; Pseudomonadati; Pseudomonadota. The record is from RNAcentral.
UGGGGAAUAUUGGACAAUGGGCGAAAGCCUGAUCCAGCCAUGCCGCGUGUGUGAAGAAGGCCUUUUGGUUGUAAAGCACUUUAAGCGAGGAGGAGGCUACUAGUACUAAUACUACUGGAUAGUGGACGUUACUCGCAGAAUAAGCACCGGCUAACUCUGUGCCAGCAGCCGCGGUAAUACAGAGGGUGCGAGCGUUAAUCGGAUUUACUGGGCGUAAGCGUGCGUAGGCGGCUGAUUAAGUCGGAUGUGAAAUCCCUGAGCUUAACUUAGGAAUUGCAUUCGAUACUGGUCAGCUAGAGUAUGGGAGAGGAUGGUAGAAUUCCAGGUGUAGCGGUGAAAUGCGUAGAGAUCUGGAGGAAUACCGAUGGCGAAGGCAGCCAUCUGGCCUAAUACUGACGCUGAGGUACGAAAGCAUGGGGAGCAAACAGG